CCUCGUCGUCAGCUGAUCGUGGGAGUGCAGUUGCGAUUGUUUACAAGUAGUUGUGGCCAAUUGUACUGGAACCAACAACAAUUUCCCUCGCAGCCGUCAACUCCGCCAAUGCGUCUCCUGGCAACGCGGCUGUCUACGACGUCCAGCAGCAGGUGCCCCGACCGACCGUUUUUACGACUUAUUUUGGUGAUUUCCCGAGCGAUCGAAAGGAGCGUCUCCAAAACGCGACCGGCUUGCGGAAAAUUCAACUCAACUUGUCAAGUGUGUGUGUGUGUGUGUGUGUGUGUGUGUGUGUGUGUGUGUGUGUGUUGGUGUGUGUGGAGGUGUGCCACUGCGUUUGAUAGCAGCUGCCAUUUACCCAUGCGAUUAGGUUCAGAAGUAAAAUGUUAAAUAUUUAAUCUGUGCUUCAUGUUUGUCAGUUAUCGUUAACCUGCUCAAAAAAAAAAACACAAAUUGUUGCUUAGCAAUCAGUGAAGACGCCCCCCAACACACACACGCGGGCAACAAAAAGUCAAGCCAGCCCCCAAACAAACGCAAUCAACAACAUCAUCAAUGGUAACUGCGGCGUCAAUAGUUCAAGGAAAGAUAAACCAAGACAGGCGGACAGACAGUCUUGUCAGACGGAUGGAUGGAUGAAUGGAUGGAUGGAUAGACGGUUGGAUGGAUGGACCAAGAAGUAGUCAAGCUGCUAACGAUUAUUUAAAAUGGGUGGCAACGCCAACGAGCAUACAAACAAGACCGUGAGGAGUUUGUCUAGCAUCAGGUUGCGGCUCACGGGGCGUAUGCGCAACGCUGGUUUAGCAUCGUUGGGCGGUCUCAAAAGUUGCAGAAGAAAAGUUCCAAGAAAUUUAAUUUAUAUUUUCUGCUUUUUUCGGAUUUAAUUUUCUUAAAUAUUUCACCUGUGGUUUACGUUUCAUCAAGGUGUAACUAAGACCCACACACACGCAUACGCGACGUAUACGUAAUCUGCGGCAUGCCGUAGCCGCAACGUUAACAGAGGGGCUCCACUUGAGAUGUACUUUUCAAGCUUGCAACAAUUUCCGAAGAUUCCAACCUUGGCAAUACUCCUUUUUUUUCCAUCUUUGUUGUUCUUGAUGUUCAACCUCGUAUCUAUGUCUGGCAUCUAGUAAACGCUUACCGUAAAUAUAGCCAUUUAUGGUUUACUUAAACAACCAACAGCAGAAAACACGUAAGAAAUUGCCAAUACAAAAAUAUCAGUUUCAACGUGUAAGGUUGGAGGAUUAUCCUUGGGCGAAUGCAGAAAUCUAAUUGAAAAGAAUUCAUCUCGAAUGCAAAUUUUUAAAAUGUAUUUGCAAUUUAAAAGGAUUUUAUUGCUAUGAUUGGAUUUUCAUCUUGUUAUUUUUGCCAUUUGUAAGCCGCUUUUCAUUUGUUGUUGCACUUGCACUUAUGUAAGUUAUUUUUAGAUUAUUAAAUUUAUAAUAUUGAAUUGAACAGCAAAAUGAUAUCAUGCUUUGAAUUGAAUCGCUUAUUGGCCUCUAUUGCCCCCCUAUUAAACACAAUUGUGCUCUGAUGCACGUUGAACUAAAGUACAGACAAGCAUAUAUAUGUACGUUGUAUACCCUAUAAAUUGGUGUAAAUUUUAAAAAAAUUCCCAAUAAUUUACAUCAUUAGUUGAGUUUAUUUAUUCUUAUCACAUCUUUCAUUCGUUUCAUUUCAUUCAAUUUCCUAUGAAAAUAAUAUGAAAUUAAAGCUUAAUCGAAUAUGAAAUUUUAAGAAAUAUUUUCUUAUCGAUUAUUAUUCUCAGAAAAAAAAAAAAACAAUAGUGCUGCAAUACAGAACUUGUGAAAAUUGCGCAUGGCAGAAAUUGUGAAGACUUGUAAAUUGACUGUUGUUUAAGUGCUUAUUGUAGAAAUAAGUCUUUAUAUUAUAUUUUACAUAUUUACUAACUUAUUGAGUUUCUAUAUUUACUUGUAAAUACUUCUUGUUAUCUAAAAAGGUGCUGUAAUUAGUUAAGUAUUUUGUAACUAAAAUGGUGCCGUAAUUAGUAAAGUAUUUUGUAUAGAACCUUGUAAGAAAUAUUUUUACAAAUUUAAAAUUCUAUAGGUAAACAGUUACAAUAUUUAAGAUAAGAAAAUCUAUCAAUUAUAAUAAUGUAAAAUGUUUUGUAACUAAAAUGGUGCUGUAAUUAGUAAAGUAUUUUGUAUAGCACAGUGUAAGAAAUAUUUUUACAAAUUUCAAAUUAUGUAAGUAAAAAGUUACAAUAUGUAAGAUAAGAAAAUGUAUCAACUAUAAUUAGCAUUAAGAGACAAGGUGUUUAAAACAUUUGUCAAUUUCAAUGAGAUAACAUUAAAAGUAAUUACCAAUA
Molecule: long non-coding RNA, 2326 nt
Organism: Drosophila nasuta
Lineage: Eukaryota; Metazoa; Arthropoda; Insecta; Diptera; Drosophilidae
Exons: 4
Source: RefSeq, a predicted model, not a curated record